AGUGUUAUCAAGGCGACACUAAGGAGACAAGAGACCUUAUGGCCUUAAGCGAGAAGCGAGGCGAAGCCUUUUCGAAGCAAGGCGCCAUAGUCUAAAUUGUCUAAAUUAUAUAUAUGUGUGUACUUGUAACAUAAAAUUCAUACUUUUAACUAGUUUGAUAUGUAAAAAAAUGCAUAUUGAAAAGAAAAGAAAAACAUUAUUUACAUUAUGUCUAUAUUUGAAAUAAAAAAAAUUGAAAAUUGUGCGUACCUGCAUUUCUAGCUUAAGUAAAAGAUAAAAGUGAGGCUGUAAAAUUAAAACUCAUAGUAUAAGCAAUAACACAAAUAUUAAUAAGAGAUGUUAAUAUAAAAAAAAAAAAAAGAAAUUGUGCAUACUUGCAUUUCCAACUUAAGUAUAAGAUAAAAGUUGAGACUAUAAAAUUGAAAUUCAUAGCAUAAGAAACAAUACUAAUAAUAAUAAUAAAAGUUAUUAAAUCAUUAAAUAGAACGUGCAAAUUCUAGAAGUUUAAACUUUAAUAAAUAUAAAUAAGUCAUAAGUCAUAACAAUCCAAAUGCAACAAGUACAUAAAAAAAAAUUGUAACUAAAACUACUCAUCAUCAAAAAGCCUCUAUUCAUCUUCCAAAUUCAUCUUCAAUUUCAACAGCUUCUAUCAU
Molecule: unclassified non-coding RNA, 653 nt
Filed under: Hevea brasiliensis (rubber tree)
Lineage: Eukaryota; Viridiplantae; Streptophyta; Magnoliopsida; Malpighiales; Euphorbiaceae
Source: RNAcentral